UACGGGGGGGGCAAGCGUUGUUCGGAAUUACUGGGCGUAAAGGGCUCGUAGGUGGCCAACUAAGUCAGACGUGAAAUCCCUCGGCUUAACCGGGGAACUGCGUCUGAUACUGGAUGGCUUGAGUUUGGGAGAGGGAUGCGGAAUUCCAGGUGUAGCGGUGAAAUGCGUAGAUAUCUGGAGGAACACCGGUGGCGAAGGCGGGUCUCUGGACAGUUCCUGACACUGAGGCACGAAGGCCAGGGGAGCAAACGGG
RNAcentral lists this ribosomal RNA (253 nucleotides) under uncultured bacterium. Its description in RNAcentral is "partial 16S ribosomal RNA". It matches the Rfam family "Bacterial small subunit ribosomal RNA", at positions 524 to 776 of the family's 1533-position model. The record is from RNAcentral.